Molecule: long non-coding RNA, 222 nt
Filed under: Physcomitrium patens
Lineage: Eukaryota; Viridiplantae; Streptophyta; Bryopsida; Funariales; Funariaceae
Description: long non-coding RNA (PPAT_LNC006694)
Source: RNAcentral
GUAUCCCUGAAGUGAAUGCUGUCCUGGUUCACGGCAUCCCACAUUCCAAACAUCCUGCAGGUUUGAAGUCUUGCCCUUAAGCUUUGGUAUUCUCAGGACUCAAAUGCCUUGUCCUUGCCGGUUGUUGGCUUGAAUGUAGGUGUUCCGUGUAAAUAUUUCCAUCCUCUACCUUUUGUAUAAAAGAGACAGUUGCCGAACUCUUUUAUUCCGCUUGGUGUAACU